Molecule: long non-coding RNA, 450 nt
Filed under: Salmo salar (Atlantic salmon)
Lineage: Eukaryota; Metazoa; Chordata; Actinopteri; Salmoniformes; Salmonidae
Description: lncRNA (ENSSSAG00000084404.1)
Source: RNAcentral
AUGUAUAGGGGGAAGGGGACAGGGAUACUGGAGUGAUGGAGGUAGAUAUGUAUAGGGGGAAGGGGACAGGGAUACUGGAGUGAUGGAGGUAGAUAUGUAUAGGGGGAAGGAGACAGGGAUACUGGAGUGAUGGAGGUAGAUAUGUAUAGGGGGAAGGAGACAGGGAUACUGGAGUGAUGGAGGUAGAUAUGUAUAGGAGACAGGGAUACUGGAGUGAUGGAGGUAGAUAUGUAUAGGGGGAAGGGGACAGGGAUACUGGAGUGAUGGAGGUAGAUAUGUAUAGGGGGAAGGAGACAGGGAUACUGGAGUGAUGGAGGUAGAUAUGUAUAGGAGACAGGGAUACUGGAGUGAUGGAGGUAGAUAUGUAUAGGGGGAAGGAGACAGGGAUACUGGAGUGAUGGAGGUAGAUAUGUAUAGGGGGAAGGAGACAGGGAUACUGGAGUGAUGGAG